GAUGAACGCUGGCGGCGUGCCUAAUACAUGCAAGUCGAGCGAACAGACGAGGAGCUUGCUCCUCUGACGUUAGCGGCGGACGGGUGAGUAACACGUGGAUAACCUACCUAUAAGACUGGGAUAACUUCGGGAAACCGGAGCUAAUACCGGAUAAUAUAUUGAACCGCAUGGUUCAAUAGUGAAAGACGGUUUUGCUGUCACUUAUAGAUGGAUCCGCGCCGCAUUAGCUAGUUGGUAAGGUAACGGCUUACCAAGGCAACGAUGCGUAGCCGACCUGAGAGGGGGAACGGCCAAACUGGAACUGAGAAACGGUCCAGACUCCUACGGGAGGGAGCAGUAGGGAAACUUCCGGAAUGGGGGAAAGCCUGACGGAGCAACGCCGCGGGAGUGAUGAAGGUCUUCGGAUCGUAAAACUCUGGUAUUAGGGAAGAACAAAUGUGUAAGUAACUAUGCACGUCUUGACGGUACCUAAUCAGAAAGCCACGGCUAACUACGUG
RNAcentral lists this ribosomal RNA (497 nucleotides) under uncultured bacterium. RNAcentral describes it as "partial 16S ribosomal RNA". It matches the Rfam family "Bacterial small subunit ribosomal RNA", at positions 28 to 507 of the family's 1533-position model. The record is from RNAcentral.